CAGGAUUGGUUUUGUUCAGAUUCUUCUAGGGGUAAAGAGGUAAAAACAAAGUGAUCUAGGAAGGAUAGAAGAGAGAAUUACUAGCUAGGAUAGGGCUACCCUAGGUAGGCCUAUUUAAAGACCUCCUCUCAUUCAUUUGAGGGGUCUUCAGCGAUUAUUCCUUCAGCCAUUAGACUUUCAGCUGAAAACUCACAUAAACAGUCAGGUUUUCUUUCUUUUUUUUCAGCUUCAAGUUAGUUUCUAAAAUCAAGCAAUCAAAAAAAUACAAAACAAAAUAUACAGAAAACAGAAAAUACACAAAAAAAAAACACAGUUGCAUCAAGUAUUGUGUGUUCUGAUAGUUAUUCUACACGAAUUGUCACUUUUGAGUUGAAUAUGUGGUCUCUUCUUCUGGUUACUGAGCUUGUUCUAAGUGUGUUGAUCCUAUUUUGGUUGGUUUCAAUUUGGAAUUGGCUGUUUAAGCUUGGUUUGGGUGUUUGUUGGUUGCUUAUUCAUCUGUGGUCACCUCUGGGUUAAUUUGAUGUUGUUUUGGAAGCAAACUGUUAGCUCUCCUUGAUUUAAACACUUUUGGAUUGAUUGAUCUUAUUUCUGGGAUGUUUGUGAACAAUAUUGAUUGCUGCUGACUUCUUCUGCUUCCUCUCAAUUUCAAAUUCCAUGUACUUACCUCACUUCGAAUGAUGUAUGUGAUUGUGAGCUGAAUAAAAUCAAGUUGGAAAGGAAAUUGAAGCGCAGGAUUUUUUUUCUGUUUUAAUUUGCCUGCUACUCACUGUUAUGCAUUUGAAAUGUUUGAAUCAUGUAUAUUAAUUUGAAUACAGUUGGACUGUUAAAUUAGCCUAUAUUAUGACAGUGAAUAUUUGUUUCUAAGUAUUUGGAGUCUUUUGAAGCUUGUUGUGUCGUUAAAAUGGAAAGAUUUUGGAAUAUUUGUAUGUGAUAGUGAGUUUGAGCUACACCGAAGUAGCUACUCAAUUUGUUGUAGUCGAUUUGGUUAUCUAUGUUAUUAGCAAUGAGUCUGUGUGUGGAGUGGUUAAUGAUUGUAGUUUCCAGAUUAAAAAUAUUAAGAAAAUAGGCGAACAUGAAUUUAAGACUAUGUUGAAAUCUAUGUAUGUUGUUUGAUUGUAUUUGGCAUGACUCGCAGCAGAUGGCAAUUGUUCGGCAUUAAUUAGUUGAUUUUCCUUAUGAUCAAUGAUUAGUAGUUUGGCUUCCACUGGAGGUAUUAAAAUAAGGCUUAGCCCUUUUCCCCUCAAGCUCGGUCUGGGGCUCGAUCCUUUGACCUCUCUGUUCAGGACCCACUUGAUUCAUUCAUUUUAGGCUUUUUCUUUUGGGCAUGUGACUGAAGUGGCAUUCGAAAAUGAUGCCUAAUUCUCUUCUAUUAAUUAUUAGCCCAAUUUUCUUCUAUUGUACAUUGAAUCAGUAGAAAACCUUAGUUACCUCUAAGUUAGACCUUUAAAUAAUUUUGAGAUGAGCCUGGCUAAACACGAACAAAUGCGGGGGCCUCGAUAAUUAAUUAUAAGAAUUGCUUAGAAUAUGGGAGGGUUGUUUAGAGAAUUUCA
Molecule: long non-coding RNA, 1550 nt
Filed under: Nicotiana benthamiana
Lineage: Eukaryota; Viridiplantae; Streptophyta; Magnoliopsida; Solanales; Solanaceae
Description: long non-coding RNA (NBEN_LNC027689)
Source: RNAcentral